This 251-nucleotide unclassified non-coding RNA is filed under the name plant metagenome. Its description in RNAcentral is "partial contains small subunit ribosomal RNA, internal transcribed spacer 1, and 5.8S ribosomal RNA". The record is from RNAcentral.
UCUCCGUUGGUGAACCAGCGGAGGGAUCAUUACAGAGUUGCAAAACUCCCAAACCAUUGUGAACGUUACCUAUCCCGUUGCUUCGGCGGGCGGCCCGGGCCCCGCGCCCGGCGCCCCCCGGCCCCCCGUGGGCGCCCGCCGGAGGUAAACCAAACCCUUGAAUUGCAUGGCCUCUCUGAGUCUUCUGUACUGAAUAAGUCAAAACUUUCAACAACGGAACUCUUGGUUCUGGCAUCGAUAAAGAACGCAGC